RNAcentral lists this ribosomal RNA (467 nucleotides) under uncultured Planctomycetota bacterium. RNAcentral describes it as "bacterial SSU rRNA". It matches the Rfam family "Bacterial small subunit ribosomal RNA", at positions 372 to 829 of the family's 1533-position model. Lineage: Bacteria; Pseudomonadati; Planctomycetota. The record is from RNAcentral.
UGCCCGAAAGGGUGACGAUGCGACGCCGCGUGAGCGAAGAAGGCCCUAGGGUUGUAAAGCUCUGUCAGGGGUUAAGAAAUGUAGAUAGGUUAAUACCCUGUUUAUUUGACAAAAGCCCCAAAGGAAGCCACGGCUAACUCUGUGCCAGCAGCCGCGGUAAUACAGAGGUGGCAAGCGUUGUUCGGUAUUAUUGGGCGUAAAGAGCACGUGGGUGGUUUUGUAAGUCAGAUGUGAAAGCCUUCUGUUCAAAGGAAGAACGGCAUCUGAAACUGCAAAUCUUGAGUGUAGGAGGGGAGAGUGGAACUUCUGGUGGAGCGGUGAAAUGCGUAGAUAUCAGAAGGAACGUCGGCGGCGAAAGCGACUCUCUGGCCUAUUACUGACACUGAGUGUGCGAAAGUUAGGGGAGCAAACGGGAUUAGAUACCCCGGUAGUCCUAACCGUAAACGAUGGGCACUAAGUAGAGGGGU